AGCCACCCCUUUUCUCCUCAGCCAAGGCUGGAGGCCAAGAUCAGCCCUCAGAGAUCAUCAUCAGGACUGCCAUGAGCUGAGCUGCCUUGUUUUCCUGCCGCAAACAUGU
Gorilla gorilla gorilla (western lowland gorilla) is the source of this 109-nucleotide non-coding RNA. The record is from Ensembl. NCBI's taxonomy places the organism in Eukaryota, Metazoa, Chordata, Mammalia, Primates, Hominidae.